RNAcentral lists this ribosomal RNA (492 nucleotides) under uncultured bacterium. RNAcentral's name for it is "partial 16S ribosomal RNA". It matches the Rfam family "Bacterial small subunit ribosomal RNA", at positions 30 to 507 of the family's 1533-position model. The record is from RNAcentral.
AUUGAACGCUGGCGGCAUGCUUUACACAUGCAAGUCGAACGGUAACAGGCCUUCUGGUGCUGACGAUUGGCGAACGGGUGAGUAAUGCAUCGGAACGUGCCCAGCGGUGGGGGAUAACGCAGCGAAAGCUGUGCUAAUCCCGCAUGUGAUCUGAGGAUGAAAGCGGGGGACCAGGCAGCAAUGUUUGGCCUCGCGCCUUUGGAGCGGCCGAUGUCAGAUUAGGUAGUUGGUGGGGUAAAGGCCUACCAAGCCGGCGAUCUGUAGCUGGUCUGAGAGGACGACAAGCCACACUGGGACUGAGACACGGCCCAGACUCCUACGGGAGGCAGCAGUGGGGAAUUGUGGACAAUGGGCGCAAGCCUGAUCCAGCAAUGCCGCGUGCGGGAAGAAGGCCUUCGGGUUGUAAACCGCUUUUGUACGGAGCGAAAAGGCUCUGGCUAAUACCUGGGGCUGAUGACGGUACCGGAAGAAUAAGCACCGGCUAACUACGUG